CCUACGGGAGGCAGCAGUGGGGAAUCUUGGGCAAUGGGCGCAAGCCUGACCCAGCAACGCCGCGUGGGUGAUGAAGGCCCUCGGGUCGUAAAGCCCUGUCAGAGGGAACGAACGAGCCUGGAGCGAAUAGUUCCAGACUUUGACGGUACCCUCAGAGGAAGCACCGGCUAACUCCGUGCCAGCAGCCGCGGUAAU
This 195-nucleotide ribosomal RNA is filed under the name uncultured bacterium. RNAcentral describes it as "partial 16S ribosomal RNA". It matches the Rfam family "Bacterial small subunit ribosomal RNA", at positions 338 to 524 of the family's 1533-position model. The record is from RNAcentral.